This 231-nucleotide unclassified non-coding RNA is filed under the name Hevea brasiliensis (rubber tree). Lineage: Eukaryota; Viridiplantae; Streptophyta; Magnoliopsida; Malpighiales; Euphorbiaceae. The record is from RNAcentral.
CAAUUAUCAAGAACGCCAUGAGGAUCAUGGAGAGAAUCUUCCCUAGCCGCCAGAUUACCAAUUGGUUUCCAUGGCGAUGGCAAAAGAUCCCGAGGCAAGGGACACAGAGCUUACGCUUGAAGUAAGAAACCACUUAUGUCUGGUUCUCAAUUUAAUUCCUAAUUUCAUCCCUGGCAAUAGUGUCAGUAGGACAAUCAAAACUUCACCACAAAAUCUGCUCAGAGCCAUCGG